This 513-nucleotide ribosomal RNA is filed under the name Enterococcus casseliflavus. RNAcentral's name for it is "bacterial SSU rRNA". It matches the Rfam family "Bacterial small subunit ribosomal RNA", at positions 85 to 585 of the family's 1533-position model. The record is from RNAcentral. Lineage: Bacteria; Bacillati; Bacillota; Bacilli; Lactobacillales; Enterococcaceae.
AAGAAAAAGAGUGGCGAACGGGUGAGUAACACGUGGGUAACCUGCCCAUCAGAAGGGGAUAACACUUGGAAACAGGUGCUAAUACCGUAUAACACUAUUUUCCGCAUGGAACAGAGUUGAAAGGCGCUUUUGCGUCCCUGAUGGAUGGACCCGCGGGGCAUUAACUAGUUGGUGAGGUAACGGCUCACCAAGGCAACGAUGCAUAUCCGACCUGAGAGGGUGAUCGGCCACACUGGGACUGAGACACGGCCCAGACUCCUACGGGAGGCAGCAGUAUGGAAUCUUCGGCAAUGGACGAAAGUCUGACCGAGCAACGCCGCGUGAGUGAAGAAGGUUUUCGGAUCUUAAAACUCUGUUGUUAGAGAAGAACAAGGAUGACAGUAAAAUGUUCAUCCCUUGACGGUAUCUAACCAUAAAGCCACGGCUAACUACGUGCCAGCAGCCGCGGUAAUACGUACGUGGCAAGCGUUGUCCGGAUUUAUUGGGCGUAAAUCGAGCGCAGGAUGUUUCUUA